RNAcentral lists this long non-coding RNA (291 nucleotides) under Homo sapiens (human). Its description in RNAcentral is "non-protein coding lnc-FGFBP2-2:1". The record is from RNAcentral. Lineage: Eukaryota; Metazoa; Chordata; Mammalia; Primates; Hominidae.
GAGAGAGUAACUAGGAUUCUAGCUUCUCUGGAUUUUGCUCAGAACUUCAUCACAAACAAUACUUCCUCUGUUAUUAUUGAGGAAACUAAGAAGUAUGGGAGAACAAUAAUAGGAUAUUUUGAACAUUAUCUGCAGUGGAUCGAGUUCUCUGAAGUAAGUGAAAGGACAUUGAUGUGCAGGACCAAGACUUCUGGGGCUUCCCACCAGGUCAGAGGACAGCCACCUCCUGGUCCCCUUUGCUCACCUUUGCCAUAUGCAGUUCUUCCAUUUGCUUCCCACCCCCUUUUUCAG